This 64-nucleotide transfer RNA is filed under the name Dicranocephalus alticolus. Its description in RNAcentral is "tRNA-Pro". The record is from RNAcentral. Lineage: Eukaryota; Metazoa; Arthropoda; Insecta; Hemiptera; Stenocephalidae.
CAGUAAGUAGUUUAUUUAAAAUAACAAUUUUGGGGAUUGUAGAUGAGUUAUUGCUUUUUACUGA